GUGCUCACUUAGGCAGCAUGUAUACUAAAAUUGAAAUGAUGCAGAGAAGAUUAGCAUCUUCUAGCCCCCUUGCAAGGAUGACAUGCAAAUUCUUGAAGCAUCCCAUUUUUUU
Small nuclear RNA from Cynocephalus volans (Philippine flying lemur), 112 nucleotides. NCBI's taxonomy places the organism in Eukaryota, Metazoa, Chordata, Mammalia, Dermoptera, Cynocephalidae. The record is from RefSeq and is a predicted model, not a curated record.